Molecule: ribosomal RNA, 492 nt
Filed under: uncultured bacterium
Lineage: Bacteria
Description: partial 16S ribosomal RNA
Rfam family: Bacterial small subunit ribosomal RNA
Source: RNAcentral
AGUGAACGCUGGCGGUAGGCCUAACACAUGCAAGUCGAACGGCAGCACAGUAAGAGCUUGCUCUUACGGGUGGCGAGUGGCGGACGGGUGAGGAAUACAUCGGAAUCUACUUUUUCGUGGGGGAUAACGUAGGGAAACUUACGCUAAUACCGCAUACGACCUACGGGUGAAAGCAGGGGAUAUUCGGACCUUGCGCGAUUGAAUGAGCCGAUGUCGGAUUGGCUAGUUGGCGGGGUAAAGGCCCACCAAGGCGACGAUCCGUAGCUGGUCUGAGAGGAUGAUCAGCCACACUGGAACUGAGACACGGUCCAGACUCCUACGGGAGGCAGCAGUGGGGAAUAUUGGACAAUGGGCGCAAGCCUGAUCCAGCCAUACCGCGUGGGUGAAGAAGGCCUUCGGGUUGUAAAGCCCUUUUGUUGGGAAAGAAAAGCAGCAGGUUAAUACCCCGCUGUUCUGACGGUACCCAAAGAAUAAGCACCGGCUAACUUCGUG